GCUCUCCUCCUUGUGGUCUGCGUCUCCGUGGGCUGGGCGAAGCCUCUCUGCUUCGGCGGCAUCUGCAUUCCUACCAGCGAAGCUGCUGGGGGUGCCUCGGGCGAGGUCACCAGUGGUACAAACAUUGGCCCUGGUGGUGUCACUAAGGUUUCGUCCGUCGGCGCCUCUGCAGGGGGAACGGCCAGAGGACCAUGUGCAUCCAGCUUCAAUACCGGAAAAGCCAAUAAGUUUAGCUCACAGACCAUCUUUGGCAAUACGGAUGAAGCCAACACGGAUGCCGUCUCAAUCCAAGAAACCGACUGCUGAAUGACUCAGCCACAGUCAUCUCGGCAUGCGCCGCAAUGGCACACAUGAAGCGCCUGUUACAUCCACGAACGUUGUGAUAUCGGCGUCGGUUGUGACAUGUGAUCGAAAUGUGCAAUACAGGCUUAUCCCCGACAUGACUGAUC
RNAcentral lists this long non-coding RNA (449 nucleotides) under Pollicipes pollicipes. Its description in RNAcentral is "uncharacterized LOC119092907". The record is from RNAcentral. Lineage: Eukaryota; Metazoa; Arthropoda; Thecostraca; Pollicipedomorpha; Pollicipedidae.